GAUGAACGCUGGCGGCGUGCCUAAUACAUGCAAGUCGAGCGAACAGACGAGGAGCUUGCUCCUCUGACGUUAGCGGCGGACGGGUGAGUAACACGUGGAUAACCUACCUAUAAGACUGGGAUAACUUCGGGAAACCGGAGCUAAUACCGGAUAAUAUAUUGAACCGCAUGGUUCAAUAGUGAAAGACGGUUUUGCUGUCACUUAUAGAUGGAUCCGCGCCGCAUUAGCUAGUUGGUAAGGUAACGGCUUACCAAGGCGACGAUGCGUAGCCGACCUGAGAGGGUGAUCGGCCACACUGGAACUGAGACACGGUCCAGACUCCUACGGGAGGCAGCAGUAGGGAAUCUUCCGCAAUGGGCGAAAGCCUGACGGAGCAACGCCGCGUGAGUGAUGAAGGUCUUCGGAUCGUAAAACUCUGUCAUUAGGGAAGAACAAAGGUGUAAGUAACUAUGCACGUCUUGACGGUACCUAAUCAGAAAGCCACGGCUAACUACGUG
RNAcentral lists this ribosomal RNA (497 nucleotides) under uncultured bacterium. Its description in RNAcentral is "partial 16S ribosomal RNA". It matches the Rfam family "Bacterial small subunit ribosomal RNA", at positions 28 to 507 of the family's 1533-position model. The record is from RNAcentral.